This 22-nucleotide transfer RNA is filed under the name Formica pisarskii. RNAcentral describes it as "partial tRNA-Ser". The record is from RNAcentral. Lineage: Eukaryota; Metazoa; Arthropoda; Insecta; Hymenoptera; Formicidae.
AGUUAAUGAUCUUGAUCAAAGU